Molecule: long non-coding RNA, 531 nt
Organism: Oncorhynchus tshawytscha (Chinook salmon)
Lineage: Eukaryota; Metazoa; Chordata; Actinopteri; Salmoniformes; Salmonidae
Source: Ensembl
CUCUGUGUCUCUGUGUGUGGGGUUAAAGGGUUGUCUCUAUGUCUCUGUGUGUGGGGUUAAAGGGUUGUCUCUAUGUCUCUGUGUGUGGGGUUAAAGGGUUGUCUCUAUGUCUCUGUGUGUGGGGUUAAAGGGUGGUCUCUAUGUCUCUGUGUGGGGGUUAAAGGCUGGUCUCUAUGUCUCUGUGUGUGGGGUUAAAGGGUGGUCUCUAUGUCUCUGUGUGUGGGGUUAAAGGGUGGUCUCUAUGUCUCUGUGUGGGGGUUAAAGGGUUGUCUCUAUGUCUCUGUGUGUGGGGUUAAAGGGUUGUCUCUAUGUCUCUGUGUGUGGGGGUUAAAGGGUGGUCUCUAUGUCUCUGUGUGUGGGGUUAAAGGGUGGUCUCUAUGUCUCUGUGUGUGUGGGUUAAAGGGUGGUCUCUAUGUCUCUGUGUGUGGGGUUAAAGGGUUGUCUCUAUGUCUCUGUGUGUGGGGGAGUUAAAGGGUUGUCUCUAUGUCUCUGUGUGUGGGGUUAAAGGGUUGUCUCUAUGUCUCUGUGUGU